Molecule: small nuclear RNA, 104 nt
Filed under: Panthera tigris altaica (Amur tiger)
Lineage: Eukaryota; Metazoa; Chordata; Mammalia; Carnivora; Felidae
Source: RNAcentral
GUGCUCGCUUCAGCAGCGCAUAUACUAAAACUGGAACGCUACAGAGAUUAGCAUGGCCCCUGUGCAAGGAUGACACGCAAAUUCGUGAAGUAUUCCAUAUAAAA